CGGACCUUCGCAAACCCCGGGGCUGGGCGGCCCUGGGUGACAGACACAAGCUUCUGAACCCAAGCUAACAAAGGCGGCCACUUCCUUCUCUUGGAGAAGAUGAAAGGAAGGAAGCAAGAGACAUGGAAGAGCCUUUUUAUGAUCUCCAAUGCCAAAACAGGGAACAGAAAAGGGAGGAAGGGUUCACCAGACCCUGGGGAGUUAUGAAGUGUUUCCCACAGCUCCUAAAGAAGGGGUGGACAGGGAAUCGACGUCUGCUGAACACGGCACCAGGCACCGUCCUAGUGAGGAUCAGGGCUUGGCCUGCUCUGAGUCAUCUCCCAGUAACAUCUAGUUCCCAGAAAAAUCAGAACAAGGAUACUGAAGCAGAACCAUUUCACAGAGAGCAAAGAUUUGAAGGUGGGAUGACAAAUCCAGUUCCAUCUUAACUGGAAGCACAAAUUGAGAGUAUGCAGCUCUUUAUACUCACAUGGGAAAAUAAGACGUAGAAAUCAAACACUUCUGCUGCACACCAAAGGGCAAUUGUCUCAAAGAAAAGCAUUUGUACCGUUGUUUCAGAAGUAUAGUGGGCCGCAGUGGCUCACAUCUGUAAUCCCAACAUUUUGGGAGGACAAAGCAGGUGGAUCACUUGAGGUUAGGAGUUCAAGACCAGCCUGGCCAACAGGAUAAAACCCCCAUCUCUACUAAAAAUACAAAAAUUAGCUGGGAAUGGUGGCAGGUGCCUGUAGUCACAGCUACUCCAGAGACUGAGGAAGGAGAAUCACUUGAACCUGGGAAACAGAGUUUGCAGUGAGCAGAGAUCACACCACUGCACUCCAGCCUGUGUGACAGAGAGAGACAGUCUCAAAAAAAGAAAAAGAGAGAGAGAGAGAAGCAUAGUGAACUUGCUACUUUUUUCAUGAAAUUCCAAUUUAAUUGAAAGAACAAUGACUGAUAAAUUAUGAUUAUUCAGACUUGGAUAUUUGGCAGACAUUUGAAGAUGAAUAAAGUGCGCCUAUCCCUUGAAGGAAAAUAACUGACACUGUUUGUUGCCAGUGAUAAAACUGGAUCUUUGCAGUAAAAAUUGGAAUUUUGGAUAACUUGUAUCUGCUACCAUAAGCUUGAUAGUUUCCUGAUAUGCAACAACUUUUAUGACAAAAUUGGUGAUUUUAACAAAUGUGAUUAUUUAUUAUAUAUAAUGAAAUGCUCAACAUUUGGAAUAUCUGCAUAACUCAGUGAAGCAAUAUUUUCCAAAUGUUCAAUUCAUCAUGUUACAAAGUCACAAAGAAAAGUUCCACUCAAAGUAUAAGAGACACCCAGUGGAUUUUAAUGUAAUGGAAUAAAAACAUGUAUUUAGAAGCAGAUUUUAAGUUGUACCUUUUAUGACACUAUCAUUUGUUAUGUUUUGAUUUAAUAAUGAAGGAGAUUAUCCACAGUUAUCUGAAGAGGCUAUUAAAAUACUCUUCCUUUUUCCUACUACAUGUCCGUGUGGGGUCAAAUUUUCUUCAUGUACUUCAGCCAAAAUAAUAUAUCACAACAGGUGGAAUGCAUAAGCAAAUAUGGGAAUCCAGUUGUCAUCUAAAAAGUCAGAAAUUAAAGAGAUUUUUUUAAAUGCCAAUCUUCUCACUAAACUCUUUUUACUUUGGAAAAUGUAUUUUUUCAUAAAACAUGUGUCUUUAGAUGCAAUGACUUUAUUCUUUUAAAAUAAAUCCAUAAUUAAGUAUUUGUAAAAUGCCUG
This 1717-nucleotide long non-coding RNA is filed under the name Homo sapiens (human). Its description in RNAcentral is "HSALNT0030052". The record is from RNAcentral. Lineage: Eukaryota; Metazoa; Chordata; Mammalia; Primates; Hominidae.